AACUGAUACUACCUGCGGGAACCUGCGGAGGGAUCAUUACAGAGUUUUCUAACUCCCAAACCCAUGUGAACUUACCAUUGUUGCCUCGGCGGAGCCUACCCUGUAGCUACCCUAUAAGGUGGUUACCCUGUAGCGCCCCGCCGGUGGAUUUUCAAACUCUUGUUAUUUUUAGUAAUCUGAGAGUCUUAUUUUAAAUAAGUCAAAACUUUUAACAAUGGAUCUCUAGAUCGGAAGAGCACA
RNAcentral lists this unclassified non-coding RNA (240 nucleotides) under soil metagenome. Its description in RNAcentral is "partial contains 5.8S ribosomal RNA, internal transcribed spacer 2, and large subunit ribosomal RNA". The record is from RNAcentral.